AUGCCACUGCUUUGCUUCUCUUCACUUUGUUUUCCAAGCCUAUUUUCCACUCCAAUCUUAUUCAAUACUUGCUUAUUCAUGAUCCAUUUCAUUGAUCAUCAUUUUUGCUCAUCACCGGCUCCCAAUAGUGGUAUUUUCUCGAGAGUUGUCCAAACUACGAAACAACACGAAUAAUGUUUAGGUUUAAGGGUAUAAUAAUGUUUAAAGGUUGUUUAGGUUUAGCAUCUAAGUUCUCUUAUUCAACCUAUAAACAUGGAUCAACCUACUCAUCUACAACGCUACAAUCAACCCACGUACAAAAAUAAUUUUCGUUUCACACGAAUAAGCAAAAAUCUAACUCACACAUAUAAUUAUCCACAAUCCAUGAACCAAUACAUGUUCUUAAUAUUAUACAUCAUCGCCGGCAAGGCUAUCUAACUCACACAAGUAUGCAAAACACAAAAUUUUUUAUUUUUUUAUUUUUUAUAGAUGCACACAAUCAUACAAAAAAAGGUAAUUUUAGAUUUUAGACAAUCUAAGAUACUCCCCCAAAGUUAAACUACACAUUGCCCCCAAUGUUAAAAUGGAAGAAGGGGAACAGAGAUACCUCAGUGAAGACAUCAAUUGUCUUCCUCUUCAUCAGGUGGAGCAGGAGGGUGGGAAUGAGGUGGAAGUGAUGGCGGUGGAGGGAAGGUGAGCUCGGGAUGUGCAGAUGCCUUAAUCGCCAUGCAAGCGUUCUGGUAUUGAAAUUGGUCAAAGAUGGUGGAUUGUAAAUGAUUCAUUUGUACUUGC
RNAcentral lists this long non-coding RNA (771 nucleotides) under Olea europaea (common olive). RNAcentral describes it as "long non-coding RNA (OEUR_LNC013380)". Lineage: Eukaryota; Viridiplantae; Streptophyta; Magnoliopsida; Lamiales; Oleaceae. The record is from RNAcentral.